UCCGGUUUGGCACCGGCAGUCUCCCUAGAGUUCCCGGCAUGACCCGCUGGCAACUAGGGACAGGGGUUGCGCUCGUUGCGCCACUUAAGGCAACACCUCACGGCACGAGCUGACGACAGCCAUGCACCACCUGUGCGGGCUCCGUAGAGCGCCGUGUUUCCACGGCUUCACCCCGCAUGUCAAGCCCAGGUAAGGUGGGGAUGACGUAGAGGAACACCAAC
This 221-nucleotide unclassified non-coding RNA is filed under the name uncultured Actinomycetes bacterium. Its description in RNAcentral is "uncultured actinobacterium contains 16S-23S intergenic spacer region". Lineage: Bacteria; Bacillati; Actinomycetota; Actinomycetes. The record is from RNAcentral.